UGAGCAGAAUCACCAUUUUGAUCGUCGUCGAUUUGACAUGGAAGACUUUCAUGAAUGCUAUUAUAACUUGGCCUGCUGAGGGCUAGGAUAGUCCCUAAACAAAAUCUGGAAGCCGUUCCGCCAGAGAUUUUUCCGUCAUGUUGCAGCAGAGCCACUUUUCUCAAUUUUGCGUCGUCCAGAAUUUAUGAUUUUUGGAUGCCAAAAUAUUUGAUGGCGUGAGAACCAAAAAAGAACUACCGGACACCGCCCAGACCUCAGGAGUCAGGAUUAUGCCGUCUACUGAACAUUGUCGCAUGCGUUCCUAUAGAGCAAGCUGGCUGCUCUCCAUCUUGAUUAUGGACCUCAAGUGUGGACCCAACUGGUCAGAGAAAUGAAGGGACAAUCGUCAUGGUGUACUCUCAGACUCAGGCCAAGGAUAUGCCUUGUGAAAUGUGCCAUAUGCAGUUACUAGAGGGAUUGUCUCGUUCUUUUUCAAGCUGUUCGGUCACAGGCAAUACUGUCACAUCCCAUGCACGGCUGAACUGAUUAAGAGUACGUGCACACCCGUGAUGUCCUUUGCCGAGGAAUGUGGUCCAGCGUUUCGAACACAGCACGCUGACCAUUUUCAGCUCGUUUGUAGUGGAUUGUGUGAGUUUGUUCUGGUGGGAUUCGUAGCCGUGUUUAAACAAGCCACUGGAGACAGAUUUUCAGUGCCUCUGUCUUGGUUGAGGUUUUUCCAAUCAUAUUCUGUGCACAUAUGGGUAUCCAAGUGCCUAUCGAGUCUCAUGGUCAUGGUCACUGCAUACAGAUCCAUGUGGCUCUCGAAAACAGUCUUCUGUUUGAUGGCCAGGCCUGGUGAUGUUUUCCUAAUUUGGUCACUCUAUCUUAUGCCGACAUUCAGUGUGUAAAUGCUGGUGCUGGCUAGACUGUGAAGUAUGGGGAAUGACACACGUGCUUUUCUCAAGAUGCUCGUGUAGAAUUCAUUCCCUUUGACCGAAAGCUUGUGUUCCCAGAUCCUGUUUGUAGCUGUACAUAAUUUCGCCGUUCUUCCAAGUUGUGGUUAACUUUCGCCUCCGACUAUCCCUAACCAUCAUCUCAUUGGUGCGUCUGUCCAUGACGUGGCUGGCUGGCAUCGAAGUUGGGCACUGCCCUGUCAUCCACUGGCAUAGUGUUGAACCUAACUGACUUUUAUGUCACAUACUAGCUGGAAGUUGUUUAAAGGGUUCGGUUUCAGUCUUUUUUAUAUAGUAGCUUUACCAUUCCUAUUACUUAGCUAUUUCCUUUUCUCGGCCUUAGGACACUUUCUUCACCAUACACUGUGUUUCUUUGGCCGUAAAAGAGGCAAUCUGCACUUGUAUUGAGUUUCCUCAUUGUGAUGGAGAUGGAAAAGAAAGCACACAUAUAGCACUUCCUGCCUGUGUCUCGGCUAUAAGCACUUUUAGCUGCUACCAUGUGGUUGACUGAAACCAGGGUGUGCCAGAUUAUUGAUCAAGAAUGCAUGCUGCAGCUCGGCUGUUUUGUUCCUUUUCUUAUGUAGAUCUACAGUGAAGGAAUCGAAAUCGCAUGUAACGUUCAA
This is a long non-coding RNA of Sycon ciliatum, 1555 nucleotides long. RefSeq lists it as uncharacterized. Lineage: Eukaryota; Metazoa; Porifera; Calcarea; Leucosolenida; Sycettidae. The transcript has 2 exons. The record is from RefSeq and is a predicted model, not a curated record.